AAAGGCUGUAUUUUUCAGUGUUUUAAAUAUUCAGAAUACUUCAGUCCAGUGAACAGUCAAGACCAGCAGAGAAGCUUUGACCAGGCAGGAGAUCCAGCCCUGAUGCCCUACUUGCCUUGCAACAGCUGGCUCUCAGCUGGAUUAAGGAAAACCUUGUGUUCCACCAGUGACUGUGAUGAUAAUGGGUGAUACAUGACAGAUGCUGAGCAGGAAAACAGAGCGGAGGCUAGGACGCCCUAAGCAGGGCAAGGAAUUAAUCCAGAAGGCCUGAGCAAAAACCAUCAUGAUGGAACAUGAACAAUGCCCAUAUGGUUUUGUCCUCAUUGAAGCUUCCAUGGCGACAGAAAGAAGAAACAAAUUUGCUCAGUCUCACAGUGCACAAGUAUUGGAAUAGCUUUAAGCUUAAACCUUUGCUCCCUUCUUUUUCC
This 428-nucleotide long non-coding RNA is filed under the name Phasianus colchicus (ring-necked pheasant). Its description in RNAcentral is "lncRNA (ENSPCLG00000005032.1)". The record is from RNAcentral. Lineage: Eukaryota; Metazoa; Chordata; Aves; Galliformes; Phasianidae.